GUCGGCCUUGCAUACUUGAUAUUUCAAACUACCUUGUAAGAUCCAUUGAGAGAGUGACACAAAGCAACGGGGCUGCUCGUUUUGCAUAUACUUUUUCCUAAAGGACAUUUUGGCUACAAGGCAAAGUGUAGCGAAGUUUCUGAAGUCAGGGCCCUUUCAGGUUGUUACCCUCGUGUAGCAUGAAUACCUCGUUGGAAGAAACAACAAACAGGCAUUGGAUUUAUACAUCACAAAUCCUUGUUUUG
This 245-nucleotide unclassified non-coding RNA is filed under the name Hevea brasiliensis (rubber tree). Lineage: Eukaryota; Viridiplantae; Streptophyta; Magnoliopsida; Malpighiales; Euphorbiaceae. The record is from RNAcentral.